Molecule: long non-coding RNA, 906 nt
Filed under: Volvox carteri
Lineage: Eukaryota; Viridiplantae; Chlorophyta; Chlorophyceae; Chlamydomonadales; Volvocaceae
Description: long non-coding RNA (VCAR_LNC001362)
Source: RNAcentral
AGGAGGUCGGCGCUGAGUCCGCUGAGGGCGCUGGCGAGGGCGAGGGCGAGGAGUACUAGACGGAUAGAAGCGGUCUUUUGACUCCGUGCAUUUGUCCUCCUGCAAUGUGAAACUGCAUUAUUGUGUAACCAUUGACGGAAGUAUUUGUUACGCUGUGUCCAUGCGACCGCACAUAAACAAGCACUGGUGGUUUGCGUCAGCAUGGUUGGAGGGAAGGAACCAUGUUCAAAAUAAGCUCAGCUUGUCUUCACAUAAGCAUAUAUGAAUAUGGAUGUGUUAUACGAAUGCAGCAAACUUGAAAAUUGAUCUUCAGCGCGUCAAGGACCAAAACCGAACAUAAACACAAACAAACACUUGUCACUGGCGUGAGCGUGAAUCAUCAGAGAACUUCAUGUACAAUGAAUGUCUCGUAGUCUUGCGAUGCAAUCUAAGAUAGCGUACCCAUUCGCAAGAAUACAGCUUGAUUUGUGUUUGUGCAAUACGAAUGCUCGAGGUGUGGUAAUUUGGGCCUAUUUAUUGCCUCCAAAUGCAACCCCAAGUGCUCCACAGGUCUUUCGCUUUAAUUUCAUUUACCAUAGGGAAGCCUCUCAGUCUGCCGUACAUCGCCAGCAUCGCUAUCCUAGCCAUCUCGAAGGAGCAAUCAGUGGCAAUAAUCGCAGCUCCGCCACUGCUUUCAAUAGCAUGACGCAUGGCGACAUGGAUCCUCACUCGGCAUGCCAUGAUGCCUGGCGCAUGGAUCCUCACUAGCUACUGAGUCGUUCAGUGGUCCCUUGAGUUCCCUUGCUAUUGUACUCUAUGCUCUUUCAUUACGUGGCCACUAUGUGCAAGAUGCUAAAAGCCAUUAUAACAUGCGUCCGAGAUCAAAGAAGCGUGUACGGCUGCGCCGUGUGGGGCCAGGAAGGGUUG